This 69-nucleotide transfer RNA is filed under the name Malacosteus niger (stoplight loosejaw). RNAcentral's name for it is "tRNA-Tyr". It matches the Rfam family "tRNA". Rfam says of the family: Transfer RNA (tRNA) molecules are approximately 80 nucleotides in length. Their secondary structure includes four short double-helical elements and three loops (D, anti-codon, and T loops). The record is from RNAcentral. Lineage: Eukaryota; Metazoa; Chordata; Actinopteri; Stomiiformes; Stomiidae.
GGUAGGGUGGCUGAAGUAUAGCGGUGGCUUGUAGUCCCAUGUAUAGAGGUUUGAGUCCUCUCCCUAUCA